This 34-nucleotide ribosomal RNA is filed under the name Candida albicans. RNAcentral describes it as "partial 18S ribosomal RNA". The record is from RNAcentral. Lineage: Eukaryota; Fungi; Ascomycota; Pichiomycetes; Serinales; Debaryomycetaceae.
CCUUCGGAGGGUGGAACUGGGGGAGGGACCAUUA